This 607-nucleotide ribosomal RNA is filed under the name uncultured bacterium. Its description in RNAcentral is "bacterial SSU rRNA". It matches the Rfam family "Bacterial small subunit ribosomal RNA", at positions 338 to 946 of the family's 1533-position model. The record is from RNAcentral.
CCUACGGGAGGCAGCAGUAAGGAAUAUUGGUCAAUGGGCGAAAGUCUGAACCAGCCAUGCCGCGUGAAGGAUUAAGGCCCUCUGGGUUGUAAACUUCUUUUAUCUGGGACGAAAAAAGGGUAUUCUUACUCACUUGACGGUACCAGAGGAAUAAGCACCGGCUAACUCCGUGCCAGCAGCCGCGGUAAUACGGAGGGUGCAAGCGUUAUCCGGAUUUACUGGGUUUAAAGGGUGCGUAGGUGGGCUUGUAAGUCAGUGGUGAAAUCUCCGGGCUUAACCCGGAAACUGCCAUUGAUACUAUAGGUCUUGAAUUAUCUGGAGGUAAGCGGAAUAUGUCAUGUAGCGGUGAAAUGCUUAGAUAUGACAUAGAACACCAAUUGCGAAGGCAGCUUACUACGGAUAUAUUGACACUGAGGCACGAAAGCGUGGGGAUCAAACAGGAUUAGAUACCCUGGUAGUCCACGCCCUAAACGAUGGAUACUCGACAUCAGCGAUACACUGUUGGUGUCUGAGCGAAAGCAUAAGUAUCCACCUGGGAAGUACGAUCGCAAGAUUGAAACUUCAAAGGAAUUGACGGCNGNGAGNGCGAGACGACGACGAGGAGAGG